RNAcentral lists this ribosomal RNA (465 nucleotides) under uncultured bacterium. Its description in RNAcentral is "partial 16S ribosomal RNA". It matches the Rfam family "Bacterial small subunit ribosomal RNA", at positions 338 to 795 of the family's 1533-position model. The record is from RNAcentral.
CCUACGGGGUGCAGCAGUGGGGAAUAUUGCGCAAUGGGCGAAAGCCUGACGCAGCGACGCCGCGUGAGGGAUGAAGGUCUUCGGAUCGUAAACCUCUGUCAGCAGGGAAGAACGGUCACUGUGCUAAUCAGCAGUGAAUUGACGGUACCUGCAAAGGAAGCACCGGCUAACUCCGUGCCAGCAGCCGCGGUAAUACGGAGGGUGCGAGCGUUAAUCGGAAUUACUGGGCGUAAAGCGCUCGUAGGCGGUAUGUCAAGUCAAGGGGGAAAUCCCCGCGCUCAACGUGGGAACUGCCUUUGAAUCUGGGAAACUGGAGUGUGUGAGAGGAUAGUGGAAUUCCAGGUGUAGGAGUGAAAUCCGGAGAUAUCUGGAGGAACAUCAGUGGCGAAGGCGACUAUCUGGCACAUAACUGACGCUGAGGAGCGAAAGCGUGGGUAGCAAACAGGAUUAGAUACCCUAGUAGUC